GUGUGACCCUGCCUGGCCCAGCGCUGGGGGAGCUAAGAAAGCCAGCCUCCCUCAGCCCUGAAUGCUGAAAACCUGGGACCAUGGGGUCACCCAUUUGACAGCGCAGUGGCCUGGGCACAUCUGUGCACUCAGCCAUGUGGGAGCAGAGAUCCCUGACAGAUGACACCUAAGGACAAAGUCACACAUGUACACGGUUCCGGGUACGUGGUCCCCGAGGCCCAUCCAGCACACCAAGAACCUUAGCCCCAACACCAAUGGGCUCCCGGCACACACAUACCACCCUGCACAGCACCCUGGCACCGAACUACUUCCCCAGCACAGCAUCGGCCCAGCGGGAACAUCCCUCCCGCCAUGAACUUGAGCCUCCCUGCCCACGCUAAGGAGCCAGACAAGUGUCUGGGCUGUACCUUCCGCUCUCUGCGUGUCCAGCUGCUCAGGCCUCCUCGGGAAUGGGAGAGAAACCCGGCUCUGCCCAGCAGCCAAGACUUCUUUCCUCUUUAUCCAGGCUGCCCAAAGGUGAUAGGAGAGUGGAUUCAGGACCCAAGCCUCCUCUAGCUCACAAACCUACCCACCUGAGGAAGAUCAGUGACCAGAAGCCGGCCAGACACGGGAAGUCCGCGAAGCUUACCUAAAUAGAGACCCAGCCGGGGGAAACCAAAUGGUGUUCUUGGUGGGGAAGAGGCAAACAGUCCGCACUGCAACACCCGCGUGGUGUCAAGUAACAGUCAGAUUAAACAAACAGCCUCAGCUGCUAUUUUUACUUCCAAAUCAGCCACGAGUAACAGAUCACUUGGGGAGUGAGAAAUUGCUUGCCGCUUAGCCGGACCCUAACCACGAUUCCAACUUCAAUCCAGAAUGAUUGCUAAAGCUAUUCCAGCACCUAGAGUCAAAUAAAAAUAUCCCGAGGUGGGAAGGAAAACAUUUGUUUAGGGAAACAUUAAAAACAGGAGAGUGUGUGCCUUGGAGCCAGAGCCCAGAGCCCUGCUGAUGUCCCGGGGCAGAAAUAGCCCGUUUCAUCAUCGGCUCUGGACGACCGCCGCCCGCAUUCCUCGAGUAAGGAGCCGUCCUCUGCUGUGCUUUUGGAGCAGAAUAAUCUGCAGCUAGGGGAAGGCCAGGCUGGGUCUCAGGGUGAGAGUUACAGAAGGAUAUGAAAUAAUCGGGGAAGAGGCAAGUUACAGCGGGUAUCCUGAUGCAGACCAUCCCCAGCCAGAAACACAGCCGCAGAACUGAGCCCAAGCUCCAGACCAAAAACUGAGCCCAAGCUCAGGGUCUGCAUGGCCCAGAGCUGGCAUCUGUCCGGGGGACUGGCCCAGGCAAAGUGACCACUGUCAUCCAGUCCAGGAGCUGUGAGCUGCAUGGAAAGAAUGUGAAUGAAGACACAACUCUAAAUGUGGAACCAUGGACGCUAUGUGAGCCAGUGUGCUCCCUAGCCGUCCAGAAAAACAAGGCCCACUUGUACAUUCUGCAAGAGCAUAAAUAAAGCUGUCCUCAGGCGGCGUGCUGUGGUGGCCCAUCCUUGCAGUGGCUUCACUGGCUGCACCCCUCAGCAAGGCCUCUGGAACACUGUGAGGGCAGCACACCCACCCAACAGCGUGGGUAAAAAACGGUCUAGCUAUGGCCUUGCCGCACGUGGUGAUCGCUAACUUAAUUUUGCAGCAAAUUUAAUCUGCUCUGUAUUGGUAUUAAUUAGAAAUGUUCAAAAGCUGGUAAUAAGGGCAGUGCAGAAUGGGUCCUUCAGGCCAAUUUCUGGUUCUGGGUAUUUGAAGCUCAUAUCCCUGCAAAUAACAGGAAGCCACUCACCUGAUUCUUUUAACUUUGCGUCCUGGUUAUAUGUGACUUCCUGUCGGGGAACGUUUCUUCAUUAUCACCCAGCUUUCCUUUAGGAGUCAUUUCUGUAAAGUUCUUCAGGACGGUGGUACAUUUCCAUGGCUUAAUAAUAAUAAUAGCAAGUGAAAAUGCUAGCCAGCAAACAUAGAAUGCUUACUUUGUGUGCCACAUGGUUCUAAGUCCUCACAUCAAUUAACCCACACCCUAUACACCCCUGAUCAUAGGUCCCUGCAUGAUUUUUUCCCAUCCCCAUGAAUCACUAUCCAUUGGGGAGCUAGGGAAGGAUGAGAUAUGGAGAAGUGAUAUUUCCUGAGCACUCAUUAUGUGCCAGGAAAACACUUUCUGUGCUUUGUUCCACAAAAUACUUAGUCUCCCUGUAAGAUGGCAGCUAAUGUUUCCUUUUUAAGGAUGAGGAAACUGAGGCUUGCAGAGGUCCCAGGAUGCCACAGCUAAUAGCAGCACAGAAGAUGCAGACGAGGGCUCACCUUCCCACCUAUCCAGUUAGUACUCUCCCAGCCCAAGUGCAGGACACAGCCAGCUGUUCUCCUUGCCUCUCCCUGCAGAGAGGGCAAUGCCUGCAGGGCACCUCCUUAGCUACCGAUUUGUUAUGGGGAUUCUGUGCCCACUGUGAGCACAGCAUGAGUGUAUUUCCAAGCCUGAUGGCAAGAUGGUGCCUCACUGGAGGAGCCCUCACUUCAGGGGCUUAGGCCCAGCUGGGCUGGCUGCCUGCUGAGGGGCCUGAGCCGGAGGACCUCUCUUGCAGGAGCACUAGGUUGGUGAGGUGUUGCCUGCUAAUGUGUAGCUCAGAGGGGCUAGAGUUAUGGGGGCAGGGCCCUGUUUGUAGCUCAGAGCUUGAAAGAGCCCAAGUUGCCGAGGCCCCUUCUAUAGGGCUGCCCUUCUCCCUAUCUGACCAGCCUGGUGCUGGGAUGGCGAUAGUCACAUUCAACUGAGGGUCACCUUGGCUGAGGCCUCUCCUCAAGGCAGUUCCUUUAGGAUUCUUUGUUUAGGACUUUACGAUGGAAGACUUAGACAUAAGAAACAGAAUCUGUGAAGGAAAUCCAGUUUAUUAAAGUGCUACCAAGUCUCACAACAAAGCCAUGGCAACCAGCUGGGAGGUCGGCUUCCUGGUGGAUCUGGGUGUAGUUGCUCCUCUCUCCACACUCAGAGAGAUCUGGAAGCCCAGCGUUAAGAGGAGCUACUCCCUAGAGGACGGGUUGACAAACUUUUUCUGCAAAAGGCCAGAUGGUAAAUAUUUUCAGCUUUGCAGGCCAGUGGGUCUUUGUCAAAAGAGCUCAGUUAGGCCAUGGUAGCAUGAAAGCAAUUAGAGACACUCUACACAAAUAGGAGUGACUAACACGGUAAAUAAAACUUCAGUUUCAGAGUUUAAAAGAAGAAAGUUGAUUUUCAUACAAUUCCAUGUAUUACAAAUAUUCUUAUUUUGACAUUUUCCCUCCAAUUAUUGAAGUGUGUACAACCACUCUUAGCUCACAGGGCUGUCCAGAACAGACAGCACAGGGAUUUGGCUCAUGGACAGUUUGCCGACCUCUGCCCUAGAGCCACUUUGUCCACUUGAGUGGCCACCAACCCUAUGUGGCUAAUGAGCACUUGAAACAUGGCUGGUCUGAACCAAGAUGUUCUGUGAGUGUAAAAUGCACACUGGAUUUCCUUAGUACAAAGAAAACCUUGGAAAAUAUCUCAACAAUAUUCUGUAUUGAUUACAUGUUGACAUGACAAUACCUUGGACAUUCUGGGUUUAAUAAAAUAUAUUGUUAAAAUUUACU
This 3608-nucleotide long non-coding RNA is filed under the name Homo sapiens (human). RNAcentral's name for it is "HSALNT0162516". The record is from RNAcentral. Lineage: Eukaryota; Metazoa; Chordata; Mammalia; Primates; Hominidae.